This 5635-nucleotide long non-coding RNA is filed under the name Cicer arietinum (chickpea). RNAcentral describes it as "long non-coding RNA (CARI_LNC001233)". The record is from RNAcentral. Lineage: Eukaryota; Viridiplantae; Streptophyta; Magnoliopsida; Fabales; Fabaceae.
ACGGGACCAAGCCAGUAAUGAAGUUCCACUAUGAUCAAAAUAUGGGUACAAGAGAGUUUCUAAUAUGGCACAAAUUUGUGCUCAGUAACCAGCCAAAAACAGCAAGGUAACUAGCACAACAAUCAGCCAACACAAUGAGAAAACAAACAUAAAAUUGAGAAAAAAGUUCAGCAAAAGAAACCAGAAAAACUGCUGCUGUCCGAGUUCAAUUUCUCCCACCUCAGACCUCUGAUCGACGAUCCAAACGGUCAGAAUGAAGUACCACGAGUCACGAACCUGUUGUCCAAAUUUCAGCCCGAUCCGACGGUGAACGAAGGAGAAAUCGUGAAUUUAGUGCAGCUGCUCUGUUUUAUGCGAAAAUAGGGUUUACUCUUCCUCUCUCACUUUUCUCUUUGUCUCUCUCUCUGAAUUCANNNNNNNNNNNNNNNNNNNNNNNNNNNNNNNNNNNNNNNNNNNNNNNNNNNNNNNNNNNNNNNNNNNNNNNNNNNNNNNNNNNNNNNNNNNNNNNNNNNNNNNNNNNNNNNNNNNNNNNNNNNNNNNNNNNNNNNNNNCUUGCACAUAUUGGGUCUUUCUCCACAUAGGAAGGGAGCCCAAAACCCAACAUAUCUCCCCCUCACAACUAUGUGGAGGUGACCGCCAAACCGGCGAUCUCACAACAAGUUUCAAACUUGCUUCUCGGUAAUGCCUUGGUCAUCAUAUCAGCACCAUUAUCAUCUGUAUGAAUCUUGGCCAAUUCCAACAAUCCAGCAUCCAAAACAUCACGUAUCCAAUGAUACCUAACAUCAAUGUGCUUGGACCUAGAAUGAAAGGUUGAGUUCUUACCAAGAUGAAUUGCACUUUGACUAUCACAAAAUAGCAAAUACUUAUCUUGAACAAAACCAAGCUCCUGCAAGAAUUUCCUCAACCAUAACAAUUCCUUGCAUGCUUCUGUAAUGGCAAUGAACUCUGCCUCAGUAGUGGACAAUGCAACACACCUCUGCAAUCUGGAUUGCCAUGCCACAGCUCCCCCUGCAAGCUUAAUCAAGUAGCCUGAAGUAGACUUUCUGGAAUCAAUGUCUCCAGCCAUAUCAGAAUCAGUAUAUCCCACAAGAGUAGGCUUAUCACCUCCAAAACAAAGCCUCAAACUGGUAGUACCACGAAGAUACCUCAAAAUCCAUUUCACAGCAUUCCAAUGCUCUCUACCUGGAUUAGACAGAAAUCUACUAACUGUACCAACAGCAUGUGCAAUAUCAGGCCUUGUACACACCAUUGCAUACAUUAAACUACCCACAGCAGAUGCAUAAGGAACUCGUUGCAUAUCUGAUUUUUCAGCUUCAUUGGUAGGACUCUGACUAGUACUCAAUUUAAAAUGAGUAGCAAGAGGAGUACUUACAGCCUUAGCAUAUUCCAUCUGGAACCUCUGUAACAGUCUUUCAACAUAGUGUUCUUGUGACAGCCAAAGUUUCUUCUUGUUCCUGUCACGCAUGAUUCUUAUACCAAGAAUCUGCUUAGCAGCUCCCAUGUCUUUCAUGGCAAAUGACUCGCCCAAUUGCUUCUUCAACCUGUUAAUCAUGGAAAUAUUUUUCCCAACAAUAAGCAUGUCAUCAACAUACAAUAACAAGAUAAUGAAAUCAUCAUCAGCAAACUUUUUAACAAAGACACAGUGAUCAGAAGUAGUCUUCCUGUAGCCUUGCUCACACAUAACUGACUCAAACUUCUUGUACCACUGACGCGGGGCCUGCUUCAAACCAUAUAGACUCUUUCUGAGCCUACACACAUAGUCUUCUUUGCCUUUAACAAGAAAACCAUCAGGUUGCUUCAUGUAAAUCUCUUCCUCCAAAUCACCAUGAAGGAAAGCAGUUUUUACAUCCAUUUGCUCUACCUCCAAAUCAAGAGUAGCAGCCAAACUCAACACAGUUCUAAUGGAUGACAUCUUCACCACAGGAGAAAAAAUCUCAUUGAAAUCAACACCCUUUCUCUGUCUGAAACCUCUCACAACUAAUCUGGCUUUAUAUCUUGAAGAUGUAGAAUUGUUUUCUUGCUUCACUCUGAAGAUCCACCUGUUUUCCAAAGCCUUCUUUCCCUUAGGUAGUUUCACCAAAUCAAAAGUGUGAUUAUCAUGCAAAGACUUCAUUUCAUCUUGCAUAGCAUCCAACCACUUCUUCUUUUCAUCACUCUCCAUGGCUUCAUCAUAACAUUCAGGUUCGCCUCCAUCAGUCAAGGUAACAUAGUCAUCAGAAGGAUACCUGGUGGAUGGUUUCCUCUGCCUAGUAGACCUCCAAACUUGAGCUUGAGGUGGUUCAGGAGCAUCACCAAGAUCCUCAUCUUGUGACAUCUCAUGUUCUUCUUCAGCAUCAUCAUUAGGAACAUCAAAAUCAUCUCCAAGCUGCUGAUCACCAACAUCACCAUGUUGCUCAUCAUUCUGAACAUUAUUUUCAGCAGUAUCCAGAUCAUGUGUAGGCAUCCGAACUGGAUCAACAUCAGACAAACCAUUAUCAAUCUCAGGUGUAGUCUUCUCCAUCUUAUCAAUGUCUUCAAUGGUUUGGUCUUCCAUGAACUUCACAUCACGGCUUCUAACAGCUUUCUUCUCAACUGGAUCAAACAGCUUGUAGCCAAAUUCAUCCUGACCAUAACCGAUAAAGAUGCACUGUCUUGUCUUCCCAUCCAACUUGGAUCUCUCAUCCUUUGGAACAUGCACAUAUGCUUUGCAACCGAAGACACGCAAAUGAUCAUACCUGACAUUCUUGCCAAACCAAAUCUUGUCUGGCACCUCAGCAUUCAAAGCAGCUGCAGGACUCAGAUUAAUAACAUGCAUUGCCGUGUACAAUGCUUCACCCCAGAAAUGCUUAGGCAACUUUGCUUCAGAAAGCAUACACCUAACUCUUUCAAUCAAUGUCCUGUUCAUUCUCUCUGCUAAACCAUUCAGCUGAGGGGUUUUAGGAGGAGUCUUUUCAUGUCUGAUACCGUGCUGCUUGCAAUAAACAUCAAAUGGUCCACAAUACUCACCACCAUUGUCAGUACGAAUGCAUUUCAACUUCUUGCCUGACUGUCUCUCCACCAUAACAUGGAACUCUUUGAAUUUCUCCAGAACUUGGUCUUUUGUCUUCAAAGCAUAGACCCAAAGCUUUCUGGAACAAUCAUCAAUAAAAGUAACAAAGUAAAGUGCACCACUAAUUGACUUUACCUUCAACGGGCCACAAACAUCAGAAUGCACCAAUUCAAGCAACUCUGACUUCCUUGAGGAAGGAUGUUUCUUGAAGGAUACUCUAGUCUGCUUACCAGCCAUGCAAUGAGAACAUUUCUCCAACUCUGCACUCUUUAAUCCCGGAAGUACAUCCUUUUUAGCUAAACAAUUCAGCCCCUUUUCACUGAUAUGACUAAGCCUGCGGUGCCACAAAGAAGCCUCCAUAUCCAUGGCAUUCACACUGUCUUUAGCAACCAAUGCUUUAGUCCAAUACAGUUUAUUAAUUUUCUCCCCUCUGGCCACAACUAAGUUACCUCUGGUGAGUUUCCAUUUUCCUGAACCAAAGUGAUUAUCAUAACCACCAUCAUCAAGCAUCUGCACAGAGAUCAAAUUAAAGCGAACAUCUGGAGCAUGUUUGACUCCUCUAAGCAACAACUGCACUCCCAUGUUGGUCUGCAAACAAACAUCACCAAUACCAACUACCUUGGACACACCAUCAUUACCCAUCUUCAACACUCCAAAGUCACCAGAAGUGUAAGAUGUGAAGAACUCCUUCCUUGGUGUAACAUGCAGUGUAGCACCACUAUCAAUAAUCCACAUGCUCUCAUCUGAUACAAGAUUGACUGAGUCAUAGUCACGGAGAAUAAUCAGAUCAUCACAAGUAGCAGUAGUAACACGGUCAUCAUCAUCAUGAUUCUUAUCUCUCUGCUUACUGUUAUUGUUUUUGCUCUCCCUUUUCCAUAUGAAACAGUUCCUCUGUAUGUGCCCCAUUUUGUGACAAUAAUUGCACUCCACAUUCUUGUGUCUGGACUUGGACUUACUUCUGUUGUUCUCUCUACUCGCACUUCUGUUAUUCUGUCUAUUCCCUUUCGGUUCCUUUCUUUGACUUCGGCCCCUGUUCUCAGUGACAAGUACCUCGGAAUGAGAUGAAGUACCUUGUGCCUUCCUUCUCAUCUCCUCAUUAAGAACACUUCCCUUUACACUUUGCAAAGAGACAACACCAUCAGAAGCUGAGUUUGUAAUUGAAACCCGAAAAGUUUCCCAAGAAUCUGGUAGAGUAUUCAGUAGCCAUAGUCCCAACACUUCAUCAUCAAAUUUGAUACCCAUACCUGACAAUUGAUCUAGGAGCCCUUGAAAAUCAUUUAAGUGAUCUGAAAUAGAAGUCUCCUCCUUGUACCUCAAAUUCAUCAAGGAGUUCAACAAAUACAACUUAUUAUUCCCUGAUUUAGAAGCAUACAAAGAUUCAAUCUUCUUCCACAAGGAUCUUGCAUGUUCCUCAUUAGCAAUGUGAUUAUAAACAUUGUCUUCUACAUAUUGCCGAAUAAAACCACAGACCUGCUGAUGUUCAAAGCUCCAAUCCUCAUCAGUCUUGGAUUCUGGCUUCUCAGUAGCAAACACAGGAAGAUGCAAAUUCUUCACAAAUAACAGAUCCUUCAUUUUUCCCUUCCAUAAGUGAUAAUUAGUGCCAUUCAAACAAAUCAUUCUAUUUGUAUUUGCCUCCAUCAUUCAAACAAGUCAAACAGCCCCUUAACCAAAGAGCUCUGAUGCCACUCUGAUGGGAAAUUCAACAACAAAUAUAAUAACAACUCUAACAGAGCAAUAUGCAGCGGAUAAUCAAUUUCCCAAACUUGCAAGAAUCUGUGAGGAGCAAUCAACAAAUAAUCACAGCAACUAAAAUCACCAUUCACAAAUGACACAAUAAUUUUUAACGUGGAAAAACCUUCUCAAUGUGAGAAGUAAACAACCACGGGACCAAGCCAGUAAUGAAGUUCCACUAUGAUCAAAAUAUGGGUACAAGAGAGUUUCUAAUAUGGCACAAAUUCGUGCUCAGUAACCAGCCAAAAACAGCAAGGUAACUAGCACAACAAUCAGCCAACACAAUGAGAAAACAAACAUAAAAUUGAGAAAAAAGUUCAGCAAAAGAAACCAGAAAAACUGCUGCUGUCCGAGUUCAAUUUCUCCCACCUCAGACCUCUGAUCGACGAUCCAAACGGUCAGAAUGAAGUACCACGAGUCACGAACCUGUUGUCCAAAUUUCAGCCCGAUCCGACGGUGAACGAAGGAGAAAUCGUGAAUUUAGUGCAGCUGCUCUGUUUUAUGCGAAAAUAGGGUUUACUCUUCCUCUCUCACUUUUCUCUUUGUCUCUCUCUCUGAAUUCAGCUCUUACACACCCACUAAUCUGACCUCUCUCCACUUGGAUAAGUGAGACACAUGGACUUGCACAUAUUGGGCCUUUCUCCACAUAGGAAGGGAGCCCAAAACCCAACAUUGCAAGCCACAUAUUGGGUCAAGAAUUAAUCUCGUAAUUAAAUUUCACGUCUUCCAAACAUACUAUCUCAAUUUCAUUUCAUAUGAAUAAAAAAUUAAAAUUGCAAGACACAUUUUGAGUCAAGAAUUCAUCUCAUAAUUAAAUUAUGGGUCAUUCAAUCAUACUAUUCAAAUUCUCAAUUUCAUCUUAUAUGAAUAAAAAAU